RNA transcript from Solanum lycopersicum (tomato), 1507 nucleotides. It is a transcript of the gene named trihelix transcription factor ENAP2, with no coding region annotated. Lineage: Eukaryota; Viridiplantae; Streptophyta; Magnoliopsida; Solanales; Solanaceae. The record is from RefSeq and is a predicted model, not a curated record.
AACCGAAACUUCGUCGGCACAUUUUUGUCGAUGUACCGUCGACCUAAUCACACUGAUUACUUCUCACCCUCUAUUCAUCUUCUAACCCUAAUUCCUCCACCACCGUUCAACAAUCCAAUUACGCCAUCGCCGCCUCCUCACCGUCUUCUCCGAUGUCCGACGACGAUCUCGUCGCCAGUCCAUCCUCGAAUAACAAUUCUCCGUCGCCGUCUCCAUCGCCUCCACCGUCUUCUGUAAAGAAUGAACUAGCAACUCUUCCUCCGCCACCGAUGAUCCCGCCGGCGUCGACUCGUCCGGCUGCAUUUCCGGCUCGCGAGGACUGUUGGUCGGAGGCGGCGACUCAUACUCUGAUCGAAGCGUGGGGUUCUCUCUAUGUGGAGCUGAAGCGCGGUAAUCUCCGGCAGAAGCACUGGCAGGAGGUGGCUAACGCCGUUAACAAACUUCACGGCAACACGAAGAAGCAAUUUCGCACCGAUAUACAGUGCAAAAACCGCAUUGAUACAUUGAAGAAGAAGUACAAGAUCGAGAAAGCUAGGGUUUCUCAAUCGCACAGUCGGUAUGUCCCGCAGUGGCCAUUUUUCAACAGCCUCGACGUCCUGAUCGGCGAUAAUUUCAAACCAUCGCCGUUGCCGGUGACGGUCGCUCCUCGACGGAAGACACCUCCGUUGCUUCCUCCUCCAACUUCCGCCGUUCCGGUUGGUCCACGGUCAAAGAGGCCGGCGGCAGUCAUGGAGGACGUCGUUUCCCGGAGAAAUUUCUCUGCUAUGGCUGCAGCUGCAGCUGCUGCUGCCUCCGAGGAUUCAGACGAAGAGGAGGAAUCGGAAACUUCAAGUCCGGCGACAUUUACUGCCAGUGCUCCAAGUAGGAGGAAGGAGAGUGGGGCAUUGGCAGAGGGUUGUAGCAGGUUAGCUGAAGCAAUAGGAAGGUUUGCCGAGAUAUACGAACGAGUUGAAGAUGCUAAGCAGAGGCAAAUGGUGGAAUUAGAGAAGCAAAGAAUGCAGUUUGCAAAGGAUUUGGAGAUUCAAAGAAUGAAACUUAUUAUGGAGUCACAAGUUCAGCUUGAAAAGCUUAAACGCGCGAAGAACAGUUCACAAGCUGCCGUCUAGGAGUUGAUGCAUAAAUUUUCGGAUAUGAGUUAGUUAUCAAGAAGGUUAACUGAUCUGAAGAUAUAUAUAAGAUGGUUACUUGUACAAGGAAUGUUGAGUAGAAGAGUGCAUUUUUUCCACGAAUCUUUCGGAGGUGAUACAUAUAUUUUGGUUAAACCUUGCCAAGAGUAUACUAGUUUUAUUGAAGAUGAGCGGUAGAUACUAGUUUUAGGCUUGAUUUUUAAUGUACUUUUUCUUUGAGACUUGAAAAAGAGUUUGUAACUUAUUUCUGUGUAAAGUGAUUUGCCUAAGCCAGACCCUCAUCCCAGUCUUUGUUACAUUCCGACUUUAAGCUUGCUUUCUUUCUUUCUUUCUUUCUUGAUUGAUCUCGUGUGAAUCGAAUCAUGAAGUUCCUGUUUCCA